CAGCCGCCGCGGGAAUACAGAGGGUGCAAGCGUUAAUCGGAAUUACUGGGCGUAAAGCGCGCGUAGGUGGUUUGUUAAGUUGGAUGUGAAAUCCCCGGGCUCAACCUGGGAACUGCAUCCAAAACUGGCAAGCUAGAGUAUGGUAGAGGGUGGUGGAAUUUCCUGUGUAGCGGUGAAAUGCGUAGAUAUAGGAAGGAACACCAGUGGCGAAGGCGACCACCUGGACUGAUACUGACACUGAGGUGCGAAAGCGUGGGGAGCAAACAGGAUUAGAUACCCCGGUAGUCCCUGUCUCUUAUAC
This 301-nucleotide ribosomal RNA is filed under the name uncultured bacterium. RNAcentral's name for it is "partial 16S ribosomal RNA". It matches the Rfam family "Bacterial small subunit ribosomal RNA", at positions 509 to 807 of the family's 1533-position model. The record is from RNAcentral.